UUGCAUUGACCUUAUAUUUAGUUUACUCAACAUAUUAUUGUUCAGUUACAUAUUUAUUUACUUGUUCAUUGUAUUAAUUUACAUUCCUCAGUUCCAUGUUAAGUUUAUCCUCUUAUGUUUAGUUUAUGUAGAAUAAUGCGUAUCUCAUAUGUUUGGUAUAUUUAUAGUACUGACUACAUACUUUCAUUUGCACUAUAUUGUAUUAUAAUAUAGAUUCAAAUGCUCA
This 226-nucleotide long non-coding RNA is filed under the name Capsicum annuum. RNAcentral's name for it is "long non-coding RNA (CANN_LNC006978)". Lineage: Eukaryota; Viridiplantae; Streptophyta; Magnoliopsida; Solanales; Solanaceae. The record is from RNAcentral.